Molecule: ribosomal RNA, 2503 nt
Filed under: Oreochromis niloticus (Nile tilapia)
Lineage: Eukaryota; Metazoa; Chordata; Actinopteri; Cichliformes; Cichlidae
Description: eukaryotic LSU rRNA
Rfam family: Eukaryotic large subunit ribosomal RNA
Source: RNAcentral
CACCCGCUGAAUUUAAGCAUAUUACUAGCGGAGGAAAAGAAACUAACAAGGAUUCCUUAGUAGCGGCGAGCGAAGAGGAAGAGCCCAGCGCCGAUCCCGUCCGACAGGCGGGCGUGGGAAAUGUGGCGUACGAAGACCGCUUUGCCCGGUGCCGAUCGGGGGCCCAAGUCCUUCUGAUCGAGGCCCAUCCACGGACGGUGUGAGGCCGGUGGCGCCCCUGUCGCGCGGGUUCGGUCUUCUCGGAGUCGGGUUGUUGGGAAUGCAGCCAAAGUGGUGGUAAACUCAUCUAAGGCUAAAUACCGGCACGAGACCGAUAGACGACAGUACCGUAAGGGAAGUUGAAAGAACUUGAAGAGAGAGUUCACAGGGCGUGAAACCGUUAAAGUAACGGGUGGGGUCCGCGCAGUCUGCCGGGGGAUUCAACUCGGCGGGCCCGGGGACGCGCGCGGUGUGGGAGGAUCCCCUCGCGGGACCUCCCCCGCUGCCGGCUGGCCCCCCGCCGGGCGCAUUUCCUCCGCGGCGGUGCGUCGCGACCGGCUCCGGUUCGGCCAGGAAGGGUCUGGGGCGAAGUGGCUCGCGGCCUCGGGCCGCGAGCUUUACAGCGCCUCUCGCCGGAAUUCGCGCUUACCGGGGCCGCGGACUCUGUGCUCGCUGCGCCUCUCUCCCCUAACCCGGGGAGGACGGGCCCCCUCGCUCCGGCGCGACUGGUCGACGGGCGGACUGUCCUCAGUGCGCUCCAACCGCGUCGCGCCGCCAGGGCGGGGAUCGGCCCACGCCAAAGGCGCACGGGUCUGCGGCGAUGUCGGCUACCCACCCGACCCGUCUUGAAACACGGACCAAGGAGUCUAACGCGCGCGCGAGUCAAAGGGUCUCACGAACCCCGAGGCGCAAUGAAAGUGAGGGCUGGCCCCGCCAGCUGAGGUGGGAUCCCGGCCCCCGCGGCCGGGCGCACCACCGGCCCGUCUCGCCGCUCCGUCGGGGAGGUGGAGCUUGAGCGCGUGCGAUAGGACCGAAAGAUGGUGAACUAUGCCUGGCAGGGCGAAGCAGAGGAACUCUGGUGGAGGCCCGUAGCGGUCCUGACGUGCAAAUCGGUCGUCCGACCUGGGUAUAGGGGCGAAAGACUAAUCGAACAUCUAGUAGCUGGUUCCCUCCGAAGUUUCCCUCAGGAUAGCUGGCGCUCAAGUCUCGCAGUUUUAUCUGGUAAAGCGAAUGAUUAGAGGUCUUGGGGCCGAAACGAUCUCAACCUAUUCUCAAACUUUAAAUGGGUAAGAAGCCGGCUCGCUGCUUGGAGCCGGGCGUGGAAUGCGAGCUGCCAGUGGGCCACUUUUGGUAAGCAGAACUGGCGCUGCGGGAUGAACCGAACGCCGGGUUAAGGCGCCCGAUGCGCGCUCAUCAGACCCCAGAAAAGGUGUUGGUUGAUAUAGACAGCAGGACGGUGGCCAUGGAAGUUGGAUCCGCUAAGGAGUGUGUACAACUCACCUGCCGAAUCAACUAGCCCUGAAAUGGAUGGCGCUGGAGCGUCGGCCCAUACCCGGCCGUCGCCGGCAAUAGGAGCCGCGAGGGCUACGCCGACGAGUAGGAGGGCCGCCGCGGUGAGCACGGAAGCCUAGGCGCGAGCCGGGUGGAGCCGCGCGGGUGCAGAUCUUGGUGGUAGUAGCAAUAUUCAAACGAGAACUUUGAAGGCCGAGUGGAGAAGGUUCCAUGUGAACAGCAUUGAACAUGGGUCAGUCGGUCCUAAGGGAUGGGCGAACGCCGUCGGAAGCGCGGGGCGAUGUCCUACGUCGCCCCGGCCGAUCGAAAGGGAGUCGGGUUCAAUCCCCGAACCUGGAGGUGUGGGAUAGGCGCCGCGAGGCGCCCAGUGCGGUAACGCAAACGAACCCGGAGAAGCUGGCGGGGGCCCGGGGAGAGUUCCUUUUCUUUGUGAAGGCAGGCGCCCUGGAAUGGGUUCGCCCGAGAUAGGGCCCGUGCCCUGGAAGCGUCGCCGGUUCGGCGGCGUCCGGUGAGCUCUCGCUGGCCUUGAAAAUCCGGGGGAGAAGGGUAAGUCUCACGCCAGACCGUACCCUAUCCGCAGCAGGUCUCCAGGUGAACGCCUCUGGCAUGUUAGAACAGGCAGCUAAGGGAAGUCGGCAAGUCAGAUCCGUAACUUCGGGAUAAGGAUUGGCUCUAAGGGCUGGGUCGGUCGGCUGGGGUGCGAAGCGGGGCUGGCUCGCGCCGCGGCUGGGGAGCAGUCGCCCCGUCGCCUCCUCUCUCCGCCGCGAAGCGCGGUGCGCGGCCCGCCUCGCGGGGCUCGCGUCUGCGGCGCCUCGCGCGUCGUACGGCGUGGGUUUUCGCGGGGCGGGUCCGCCGCCGUGGAAGGCGGGCCGGCGGGGGUGCGGUCGCGGUGGCUGGCGGCGACUCUGGACGCGCGCCGGGCCCUUCUCGCGGAUCACCUCAGCUGCGGUGCCCGUCGGGUCCCCUUCGCGGGGCUCCCGGCGGGUCGCCUCGGCUGGCGCCUAGCAGCUGA